This 305-nucleotide ribosomal RNA is filed under the name uncultured bacterium. RNAcentral's name for it is "bacterial SSU rRNA". It matches the Rfam family "Bacterial small subunit ribosomal RNA", at positions 334 to 656 of the family's 1533-position model. The record is from RNAcentral.
UUUCCCUACGGGGGGCAGCAGUCGGGAAUAUUGCGCAAUGGAGGAAACUCUGACGCAGUGACGCCGCGUGCAGGCCGCCGGUUUUCGGCUUGUCCCCUGCUUUCGCCAGGGCAGCUAAUGACAGUACCUGUAGAAUAAGCUCCGGCUAACUACGUGCCAGCAGCCGCGGUAAUACGUAGGGAGCAAGCGUUAUCCGGAUUUAUUGGGUGUAAAGGGUGCGUAGACGGGAAGGCAAGUUAGUUGUGAAAUCCCUCGGCUUAACUGAGGAACUGACACUAAAACUAUCUUUCUUGAGUGCUGGAGAG